This 76-nucleotide transfer RNA is filed under the name Candidatus Aadella gelida. RNAcentral describes it as "tRNA-Arg". It matches the Rfam family "tRNA". From Rfam's summary of the family: Transfer RNA (tRNA) molecules are approximately 80 nucleotides in length. Their secondary structure includes four short double-helical elements and three loops (D, anti-codon, and T loops). The record is from RNAcentral. Lineage: Bacteria; Pseudomonadati; Candidatus Omnitrophota.
GUCCCCGUAGCUCAGAUGGAUAGAGUACUGGCCUCCGAAGCCGGGAGCGGCAGUUCGAUCCUGCCCGGGGACACCA